RNAcentral lists this small RNA (79 nucleotides) under Flavobacterium sp. KMS. Its description in RNAcentral is "Flavo-1 RNA". It matches the Rfam family "Flavo-1 RNA". The record is from Rfam by way of RNAcentral. Lineage: Bacteria; Pseudomonadati; Bacteroidota; Flavobacteriia; Flavobacteriales; Flavobacteriaceae.
UCCUAGCCCUGAUGGUAACGGUAUCCUUUUAUUUUUUUCUUUAUAAAAAUAAAAGAUAUAGUGUACAGCAGGAAAUAGC